Molecule: ribosomal RNA, 668 nt
Filed under: uncultured bacterium
Lineage: Bacteria
Description: bacterial SSU rRNA
Rfam family: Bacterial small subunit ribosomal RNA
Source: RNAcentral
CCAGCCUUCUGAAAGGAAGAUUAAUCCAGGAUGGCAUCAUGAGUUCACAUGUCCGCAUGAUUAAAGGUAUUUUCCGGUAGACGAUGGGGAUGCGUUCCAUUAGAUAGUAGGCGGGGUAACGGCCCACCUAGUCAACGAUGGAUAGGGGUUCUGAGAGGAAGGUCCCCCACAUUGGAACUGAGACACGGUCCAAACUCCUACGGGAGGCAGCAGUGAGGAAUAUUGGUCAAUGGGCGAUGGCCUGAACCAGCCAAGUAGCGUGAAGGAUGACUGCCCUAUGGGUUGUAAACUUCUUUUAUAAAGGAAUAAAGUCGGGUAUGCAUACCCGUUUGCAUGUACUUUAUGAAUAAGGAUCGGCUAACUCCGUGCCAGCAGCCGCGGUAAUACGGAGGAUCCGAGCGUUAUCCGGAUUUAUUGGGUUUAAAGGGAGCGUAGAUGGAUGUUUAAGUCAGUUGUGAAAGUUUGCGGCUCAACCGUAAAAUUGCAGUUGAUACUGGAUGUCUUGAGUGCAGUUGAGGCAGGCGGAAUUCGUGGUGUAGCGGUGAAAUGCUUAGAUAUCACGAAGAACUCCGAUUGCGAAGGCAGCCUGCUAAGCCGCAACUGACAUUGAGGCUCGAAAGUGUGGGUAUCAAACAGGAUUAGAUACCCUGGUAGUCCACACGGUAAAC